This 674-nucleotide ribosomal RNA is filed under the name Roseovarius sp. RNAcentral describes it as "bacterial SSU rRNA". It matches the Rfam family "Bacterial small subunit ribosomal RNA", at positions 28 to 748 of the family's 1533-position model. The record is from RNAcentral. Lineage: Bacteria; Pseudomonadati; Pseudomonadota; Alphaproteobacteria; Rhodobacterales; Roseobacteraceae.
AACGAACGCUGGCGGCAGGCCUAACACAUGCAAGUCGAGCGAGACCUUCGGGUCUAGCGGCGGACGGGUUAGUAACGCGUGGGAACGUACCCUUCUCUAAGGAAUAGCCACUGGAAACGGUGAGUAAUACCUUAUACGCCCUUCGGGGGAAAGAUUUAUCGGAGAAGGAUCGGCCCGCGUAAGAUUAGAUAGUUGGUGGGGUAAUGGCCUACCAAGUCUACGAUCUUUAGCUGGUUUUAGAGGAUGAUCAGCAACACUGGGACUGAGACACGGCCCAGACUCCUACGGGAGGCAGCAGUGGGGAAUCUUAGACAAUGGGCGCAAGCCUGAUCUAGCCAUGCCGCGUGUGUGACGAAGGCCUUAGGGUCGUAAAGCACUUUCGCCUGUGAUGAUAAUGACAGUAGCAGGUAAAGAAACCCCGGCUAACUCCGUGCCAGCAGCCGCGGUAAUACGGAGGGGGUUAGCGUUGUUCGGAAUUACUGGGCGUAAAGCGCACGUAGGCGGAUUGGAAAGUAUGGGGUGAAAUCCCAGGGCUCAACCCUGGAACUGCCUCAUAAACUUCCAGUCUAGAGUUCGAGAGAGGUGAGUGGAAUUCCGAGUGUAGAGGUGAAAUUCGUAGAUAUUCGGAGGAACACCAGUGGCGAAGGCGGCUCACUGGCUCGAUACUGACGCUG